AGAGUUUGAUCAUGGCUCAGAACGAACGCUGGCGGCGUGGAUAAGACAUGCAAGUCGAGCGCUGAUUUCAGGGUAGCAAUAUUCUGAAGUCGGAGCGGCGCAAGGGUGCGUAACACGUGGGUAAUCUGCCAUGAAGUUCGGGAUAACUUGCUGAAAGGCGAGCUAAUACCGGAUGUGACAACCGGAAGACAUCUUCUGAUUGUUAAAGUUGGGGACCGUAAGGCCUGACGCUUCUUGAUGAACCCGCGGCCUAUCAGCUAGUUGGUGAGGUAACGGCCCACCAAGGCUAAGACGGGUAGCUGGUCUGAGAGGACGACCAGCCACACUGGAACUGAGACACGGUCCAGACACCUACGGGUGGCAGCAGUCGAGAAUUUUUCACAAUGGGCGCAAGCCUGAUGGAGCGACGCCGCGUGGGGGCUGAAUGGCUUCGGCCCGUAAACCCCUGUCAUUUGCGAUCAAACCUUAUUAUUUAAAAGAUGAUGAGCUGAUAGUAGCGAAAGAGGAAGGGACGGCUAACUCUGUGCCAGCAGCCGCGGUAAUACAGAGGUCCCAAGCGUUGUUCGGAUUCACUGGGCGUAAAGGGUGCGUAGGUGGUGAGGUAAGUCGGAUGUGAAAGCUCGGAGCUCAACUCCGAAAUGGCAUUGGAAACUACCUUGCUCGAGGGUUGGAGGGGGGACUGGAAUACUUGGUGUAGCAGUGAAAUGCGUAGAUAUCAAGUGGAACACCAGUGGCGAAGGCGAGUCCCUGGACAACUCCUGACACUGAGGCACGAAAGCUAGGGGAGCAAACAGGAUUAGAUACCCUAGUAGUCC
This 815-nucleotide ribosomal RNA is filed under the name uncultured bacterium. Its description in RNAcentral is "bacterial SSU rRNA". It matches the Rfam family "Bacterial small subunit ribosomal RNA", at positions 8 to 796 of the family's 1533-position model. The record is from RNAcentral.